GUCGAGAAUCUUCCUCAAUGCCCGCAAGGGUGAAGGAGCGACGUCGCGUGAUUGAAGAAGCCCUUCGGGGUGUAAAAAUCUUUUCUCAGGGAAGAACAAAUGACGGUACCUGAGGAAUAAGGGGCGGCAAACUUCGUGCCAGAAGCCUCGGUAAUACGAAGGCCCCGAGCGUUGUCCGGAUUAAUUGGGCGUAAAGCGUCCGCAGGCGGUCCGUAAAGUCAGCAGUGAAAGACCCAAGCUUAACUUGGGGAACGCUGCUGAAACUAACGGGCUAGAGUCCGGGAGAGGCAAGCGGAAUUGCCGGUGUAGCGGUUAAAUGCGUUAAUAUCGGCAGGAACACCAAAUGCGAAGGCAGCUUGCUAGAACGGUACUGACGCUCAUGGACGAAAGCGUGGGGAGCGAAUGGGAUUAGAUACCCCGGUAGUCC
RNAcentral lists this ribosomal RNA (427 nucleotides) under uncultured bacterium. Its description in RNAcentral is "bacterial SSU rRNA". It matches the Rfam family "Bacterial small subunit ribosomal RNA", at positions 354 to 796 of the family's 1533-position model. The record is from RNAcentral.